Flavobacterium sp. LM5 is the source of this 144-nucleotide non-coding RNA. Lineage: Bacteria; Pseudomonadati; Bacteroidota; Flavobacteriia; Flavobacteriales; Flavobacteriaceae. The record is from Rfam.
CCCUAGCCCCGAUUGUAGUAGAAAUCCUUGUGAAAAUAAAGACUAAUUUUUCUUGACAAAAAAGAGCGACCAGCGGAAGCUCCUUUUUUGGCUUAGAAAAAUAGUAUUUAUUGAACAAGAUUGUAACGAAAAGCGGGAAAUAGC